GACUUGGUAGCCCAGUGGUUAGGGCACCCACCUGGGAGGUGGGAGACUCCGGCUCCUGUCCUCCUGGUCC
RNAcentral lists this transfer RNA (70 nucleotides) under Chelonia mydas (Green sea turtle). It matches the Rfam family "tRNA". From Rfam's summary of the family: Transfer RNA (tRNA) molecules are approximately 80 nucleotides in length. Their secondary structure includes four short double-helical elements and three loops (D, anti-codon, and T loops). The record is from Rfam by way of RNAcentral. Lineage: Eukaryota; Metazoa; Chordata; Testudines; Cheloniidae.